GGUCACAUAUACAAAUUGGCUUUCUAUAACAACAUACAUAACAAUUUAGAUAGUAAAUAUAACUAAUCAUCACAGAUAACAUGCAAUAAGAAAUAGAUUGUAUACAUGGUGCAUAAAUGAAAUCUUCACAUGCCUAUACCAAAUGGGCACCAUGUUCGAAAACAAAGAAUUAUGUCAGCCCAAUGCACCUGGCCAUUUCUUGUGGAGGGCAUCACAUUCAUACGACGGUCCUAACAAGGAUUAAAUUAGCUGCAAUAUCAAAUAGAGAUAUACUAAAUACUACCAUGCGAGCAGGAUAUGUGGUAAUCACAUUUCUCUUUUUUGUUUAGUUGUAUUGUUAAAGAGCAACCAUGCUGAAAUCUAUAUGUAAGGAAGUGGCAGACCGGCGAUUUCAUUUUAUACAUGAAAAGGCUUAUCAAAACAAACUAGCAUGGAAAAUGGUGUCGCUACACUUGCACAAAUUAAAUAAUUCCCAAAUUGAAAUGUCAACCAAUCACCAACCACCUGUGUUGCAUACAGAAAACAAAAAUUUCCCAGUCAGGUCAUGCUAAUUGAUAUAUCAAGUAACAUCAUGUAAAGAUGAAAUACAAAGAGUAUUACAACAAAAGUGACUACUGAAAUAAAUGCAAGAUAUGCGCAAGAUGCAGUACGCCUAGCAUGUAUCCAGUGCGUCCUACUUGAGCUGCUCAAGCUAGAUAUCAUUACUUAGUUAUGCAUUAGUACUAAAAUAAAUUUCAUCAAAGAUUCAAUCAAAUUUUAUUGCAUGAGUAUCCACAUACAUAAAACUUGUUCAUCUGUGGAAACAUAUCAUCCGUUCAUCUAGCAACAAUCAAGUUAUUGCAAGUUUGAAUAAAAAAAUCUUGGAGAUUAUGUAAUGCUUACUCUCAAACUUUUUGUUUAUACAGUAGUGAUAUUCUUUGUUUCACUAUUUAUCUUUGGAUUCUUAUCUAAUGACCCAGGACGGAAUCCUGGACGCGAGGAGUAAAAAUUCCAUUUUUUGUUCUUAUUGGAUUUGUUUCGUACAUUUAUCUAUGAGAAAAUCCGGGGGUCAGAAUUCUUUCCAAUUCGAAAGUCCCAAAUGAUCCAAGGGAGCGGAAAGAGAGGGAUUCGAAACCUCGGUACAAAAAAAUUAUACAACGGAUUAGCAAUCCACCGCUUUAGUCCACUCAGCCAUCUCCCCACGUUCCAAAAAAAUUGUACAACCCAAAAAAUGAUGUCCUAAAUUUAAACCCAGCUAGAGUGAUUAGGUUUUCUUAUCUCUAAGAAUUAUAUACUAAGGUUAAGCGUUCUAAAGAAAGACAUUACAGGAAUUUGUACCCAACAUUGCUUUCUGCUUAUUUUUUUGCAUACCUUGGAAGUCGGAACUGUAAUAAGAAAAAUAAGUACUUAUUACCUCCAGGUAAAGAAAAUGGAAUAGAUCUUUGUGUUCUUGAGACCAGCUUGUAAGGUUCAAUCAUAUUCGCCACAUGGUGUCAGUGCCAUCACAAGGUAAAAUUAGAUAUUAAGUCUGUACUCACGUACUAAUGAAUUAGAGAGCAAAAAUAUCAUACCUAAUUUAUAAUCUUCAUGUAAUACUACUGCAACUCAUAACUGAAAAAGGACCACAUAAUUUAGAUAAAGCUAAUCUAUAGGAUGUGUAAAAUUAAUUUCCUCCAUAAAUAUUUCCUUUCACUCAUAUCAGAUAAAGAUAAUACUACUGCAACUGGCUCUAUCAGUUCAGGAGGAAAUUCACACAUUCAAUGAAAUAUUGUAUGGGGGUGAGUGGAUGACUUGGGAGAAAUAAAGCUUGCAAAUUUGAAUGAAGAGGAUUGUCAAGUUAUCUUGGAGAAGGGGAUUUCACAUCAAUGUCCAGAGGAGUUACAGGAUGUAUUGCAUAAUCAGAAGAGGAUUUUCAACUAUGAAUAAGCAUUGUCGAAGAUUUUUCCCCUAGAUUAUGACUGUGCAACACAACAUUCAGAAAUAAAAUCGGUAGUAUUUUACCUACCAAGGAGUCCACUGGUUUCCCAUCGUGGCCUUCUGCCUAACAAAUCCCAAACACAAAGACAUCAGCAUUCUGCUAUUAUUACUCUCUCAACAGGUACACAUUAUUUUACAGGUUAGAAUAUAUCCUCCACUUACAAAUUUCAAUCCAAAAUUUCAUUUCUAUGGACAACGAUGGUGUCCUCGAGGUGCAGUAUCUCGGGAGUCGAUGGUUCUCACCCACUCCAGGACCUCCAGUGUGCCGGACGAACCUGCCAACAAGAAGCAACCACCAAAAUGAGCAAACACCGUCGUCGUCGUGGACAACUGGCAAACAGGCACGAGACAGCCGACAAGUCGAUGACGAACCUCAGGAUGGUGCCCUUGGUGAACCAUGGUGCGCCGGCCUUCAGAUCCGGCUGGAGCAGGAUGGUUAGACUCCCUUGGCAAUACGCUUCUGGCUUGCCUUGAGGUCACCAUGAAGGGGUUCAACAGGCCGGAGACGGUCUUCUCCUUCCUCCCAUUCGCUAUCACAACAAAGCACAC
RNAcentral lists this long non-coding RNA (2505 nucleotides) under Triticum aestivum (bread wheat). RNAcentral's name for it is "long non-coding RNA (TAES_LNC003261)". The record is from RNAcentral. Lineage: Eukaryota; Viridiplantae; Streptophyta; Magnoliopsida; Poales; Poaceae.